AUUGAACGCUGGCGGCAUGCCUUACACAUGCAAGUCGAACGGUAACAGGUCUUCGGAUGCUGGCGAGUGGCGGACGGGUGAGUAAUACACCGGAACGUGCCCAGACGUGGGGGAUAACGUGGCGAAAGCUUUGCUAAUACCGCAUACGAUCUAAGGAUGAACGCCGGGGACCGCGAGGCAUUGUGCGUUUGGAGCGGCCGAUGGCAGAUUAGGUAGUUGGUGGGAUAAAAGCUUACCAAGCCGACGAUCUGUAGCUGGUCUGAGAGGACGACCAGCCACACUGGGACUGAGACAUGGCCCAGACUCCUACGGGAGGCAGCAGUGGGGAAUUUUGGACAAUGGGCGAAAGCCUGAUCCAGCAAUGCCGCGUGCAGGAUGAAGGCCUUCGGGUUGUAAACUGCUUUUGUACGGAACGAAAAGGCUCUGGCUAAUACCUGGGGCACAUGACGGUACCGUAAGAAUAAGCACCGGCUAACUACGUG
This 482-nucleotide ribosomal RNA is filed under the name uncultured bacterium. RNAcentral's name for it is "partial 16S ribosomal RNA". It matches the Rfam family "Bacterial small subunit ribosomal RNA", at positions 30 to 507 of the family's 1533-position model. The record is from RNAcentral.